UACGUAGGGGCAAGCGUUAUCCGGAUUUACUGGGUGUAAAGGGAGCGCAGACGGAACUGCAAGUCUGAUGUGAAAGCCCGGGGCUCAACCGCGGGACUGCAUCGGAUACUGUGGAUCUGGAGUGCCGGAGGGGCAAGCGGAAUUCCUGGUGUAGCGGUGAAAUGCGUAGAUAUCAGGAGGAACACCGGCGGCGAAGGCGGCUUGCUGGACGGCAACUGACGUUGAGGCUCGAAAGCGUGGGGAUCAAACAGGAUUAGAUACCCU
This 264-nucleotide ribosomal RNA is filed under the name uncultured prokaryote. RNAcentral's name for it is "partial 16S ribosomal RNA". It matches the Rfam family "Bacterial small subunit ribosomal RNA", at positions 524 to 788 of the family's 1533-position model. The record is from RNAcentral.